This is a long non-coding RNA of Drosophila innubila, 713 nucleotides long. RefSeq lists it as uncharacterized. The transcript is spliced from 2 exons. The record is from RefSeq and is a predicted model, not a curated record. Lineage: Eukaryota; Metazoa; Arthropoda; Insecta; Diptera; Drosophilidae.
UUUAUCCGUUAACUAAAUUCGAGUCUCACGCUAACGCUACUUAUUUAUAUCUUUUGCUUUUCUGUAUCUUUCACGAUGCUCUCGCAUUCGCGUCUCGCACGCAACUAAAGCAGCUCCAAGCAAGUGAGCUCUUUAAAUAGCUGGCCACGCAACUUCUUACACUCGCAACUUGAGCAUGGGGGUGGGUUGCCAUCAUACCGGCAGGUGAGGCGAGUGUCAACGGUAACAAAUUCAAAUUGAGUGAGCGCGCGUGCUCGAGCUGGCGUCAAACAUGUUGUGUUUUCGUUUUCUGGUUUGAGAGAGUAGCGAGUAUAAGAGUACGCAUAACACGGCGCAUUGUUGUUGCAGUCUACAACAUGCAUGAAACAGCAAAUCCGGUACUCGAAACUUGUAUUCAUUAAGGAAACGUUCAUGGUUAAACAAAAUGUUUGUUGCACAUUCCAUUCAAAGUAUUCAUGCCACGCGAAUGCAUGUAAAUAUGUAUGUAUGUAUACAAAUAACUUGGCAACUGCAACAUUUGAAUACAGUUAGUUGGCGCUUGGCUGGAGCUCCCCAUUGAUUAUGCGUAAUUUGUGAUUAGUCAAUCAUCUCGGUAAUGCCCUGAAACAACGUGUAUAACGGCAUGAUUCAUCGAUAUUACCAAUAUACAAAUAUACAUAUACAUAUAGCUGACUAAACCUACCGCAAAGAUCUCUUUGUGUUGAAAUCUUCGA